Molecule: transfer RNA, 71 nt
Filed under: Marmota monax (woodchuck)
Lineage: Eukaryota; Metazoa; Chordata; Mammalia; Rodentia; Sciuridae
Description: tRNA.Ala
Source: RNAcentral
GUUGUGGCUCAGUGGUAGAGCACUCGCCUAGCAUGUGGGAGGUUCAAUGUGGUUCAAUCCUCAGUACAACA